UAGGGAAUCUUCCGCAAUGGGCGAAAGCUUGACGGAGCAACGCCGCGUGAGUGAUGAAGGUCUUCGGAUCGUAAAACUCUGUUAUUAGGGAAGAACAACUGUGUAAGUAACUAUGCACGUCUUGACGGUACCUAAUCAGAAAGCCACGGCUAACUACGUGCCAGCAGCCGCGGUAAUACGUAGGUGGCAAGCGUUAUCCGGAAUUAUUGGGCGUAAAGCGCGCGUAGGAGGUUUUUUAAGUCUGAUGUGAAAGCCCACGGCUCAACCGUGGAGGGUCAUUGGAAACUGGAAAACUUGAGUGCAGAAGAAGAAAGUGGAAUUCCAGGUGUAGCGGUGAAAUGCGAAGAGAUAUGGAGGAACACCAGUGGCGAAGGCGGCUUUCUGGUCUGAAACUAACGCUGAUGUGCGAAAAAGGGGGGAUCAAACAGG
RNAcentral lists this ribosomal RNA (429 nucleotides) under Actinomycetes bacterium. RNAcentral describes it as "Actinobacteria bacterium partial 16S ribosomal RNA". It matches the Rfam family "Bacterial small subunit ribosomal RNA", at positions 355 to 776 of the family's 1533-position model. The record is from RNAcentral. Lineage: Bacteria; Bacillati; Actinomycetota; Actinomycetes.